RNAcentral lists this long non-coding RNA (2504 nucleotides) under Sus scrofa (pig). RNAcentral's name for it is "lncRNA (ENSSSCG00060067637.1)". Lineage: Eukaryota; Metazoa; Chordata; Mammalia; Artiodactyla; Suidae. The record is from RNAcentral.
AUGCCCUCUUUCCCCACCCUCUCCUCUGCUCAGUUUCUUCUGCUUUAUUUGAGGACCCCCCCAUUUGGUGCUUUAAUUUGUUGUGUUUCCUCUAUCGAUUGUUUAGCUGGUGAUUUUGCCAGCGUCCUGGAUGUUCGUUCUGGUCUGCACAGAAGAGUCACAUUUCCUCCUGGAAUCGGGACCAGGACACAGACAGACCCGCAGACACGGGAAACGCCAGAUUUGUAUCAAGUGAGCCCCUGCGAAUUGAUCCGGAGAAAAUAUGAACUCGUCUGUCUCAAGGACUGUGGUUCGCUAGCAGACAGAGAGAGCUAUUGGAUACGUGGAAACCAGAGAAAAUAAAAUUAGUGAUUCUGGAAAGAGGUUCAUUCAGAUUUAUGCAGGCCCAGGAAGGUGAGUGUAUUAGAAUUCGCAUAAACAAAGCUGCGUCACUUGGCACCUUGGCUUAGGGAUAAUUUAAUUACCCCACCUAUUAACGCUGAUUUAUGUUUCUGCUCCCGCCAACCUUCUUACGAUCUUGUUUAUUUCCAGAAAUCACUUUUGUGACAGCCCUAAUAGGCCAUUCAACUGGGAACGUUUUCUCAUUUAGUUGAAAAUAUUUCAGGUUUCAGACACACAACAAGGAAAAGCACUUUCAGACUUCAUGUAUGUGAAUAAUGUUUGGGGAGAGACUGUUUUAAGAAAAUGAAUUCAACCAGCAUAUUUGACCAAUUUCAGCCUAAAAUAUUAUGUUUCAAUUUGCCAAGCAGGUUGAUUGGACUUCAGCUGGCGCAAAGAUUCUGGGCUGUACUCUUUCUUUUUUCUCUGAUGGGAGGGCAGAGAGCGGCCUUGGUGCCGUCUUUGCACGUGGGUUUGUGGACGAGCACGGAGGUCUGCUUGCCGGCAAGCAUGUCGGGCUGAACACUUCCUGCUGGGAGUGAUGGCGCGCUGUUGCAGAUUUUGAGUCCUGUAUUUGUAAACUUUCUACUUUUUGUUUUUUGAGAAAGUCAAGUUUGAUCUGUGCCGGCAAAGGUGUGUUGGCGGGGGGAGUAUGUACGUCCCUCUUCACAGCUGAAUGCAAUCAAAACGCUUGUUUUAUGUUGUGUUUUGGUUAAAAGGUAAAAGAGGAGAGAAAAAGACACCCAAACAAACCAGAAGAUGCAGUUAGCUUGGAGUCGUCAGCCCUAAACAGACAGUGCCUGGAGUAAAGCCCAUGGGACACAAUGCAUUUUCUCUCCUGCUCCCCCACCACCCCGUGAAAUUCUUUGGAGGGAGACGGGGCAUCGUGGGGAUUGCAUUUAAGGGUCAGCUAACUUGUUUAAGCUGCAUGUCAGGAGAAAGAAGGCUGAGAUCCUUUGUGCAAACAAGCACUAGAAACUCAAAUCCCUGCCUGUCUCUCAGAAGCAGACCUGCAGGGUGUCUUCUGAGUGGUUUGGAGAAAUGAGGUUUGAGGCCACCUUUCAGUGGCCUUCAUCGCUGCCUCUGCACCGGAGGUGUCCGGGCAGGAGCUACGGGAGGCCCAAACAUUCCAGGCUGCUCUCCUCCAGGAAAGGGUCUGGGGAGCCCGGGGUGGGCCCGGGCUGCGGCGGAGGCUGGCUUGAUGAGGGGACGUGCCAUCCAUCCCAGAGCGGUGGGCUCGCCAGCACCCAGUCCCACAGCUCUGACGAUGCCAUGCUGCUGCCACAUCACACACACUCUUGGCACACUCUUCGAAGUCUAAUCUUGGACACUCAGUCGUAUGACAAAUUCCUAGUUUUUAUAAUUUUGUGAGUUGUCUCCCCAGCAGAGUCUGAGUGUCAUGAUCAUUCUGUACUUAGGAGAAGGUUGAUCUUUAUCCGGAGUCUGACCUUGCCAGGGGUUGCAUGGGAUAAGUGGGUGGUGCCUUCCAACGCCAUGAUGGGGUCGGAAACGUCAUUGUCCCCACUCGAGGACUGAGGAGUCUGAGUGGGUUUCCCAGGCAGCACAGCUCGUGUGCAGGGCUGGGGAGAACUGGGAUCUGAAUCCAGGCCAGGAGAUCUCAGCCCCCACGUUCUUAAGCAGUGGGAAUUCAGUAUUUGAGUGCUGGAGGGUGAGUGUGAGAGGCGGAGGUGAUGCCUGAGCCGAGGGUUUAGGUGGGUUGAGUUCAAAUAGGGCUCUGCCCUCACUCACCAGGGACCCUUGGGGAGUCUUUACAUUUCCCGAGCCUUGGUUUCCUCCUGCAUAAAAUGUAGCUGGUGAUCUUUCUUUUUCAGGUUGGGAGGAUUUGAGAUGGCGAAUGAAAAGACUGGGCCCUUAGCAUGUGCCGGAUGGAGGAGGGUUGGGUCAUGGCCUUCUGCGGGCCAGUUCCUGGAGCCCAGGAACAAAGGGGCACGGGGGCCUCCUGGCAUCACAUCUUGGCCUCCUGUGACUGGGGCCACCCUAGGUGAGUCUCUUAAAUUGCUGGUCUUGCUUUUCUUUCCCAAUCCAGCUCCUGCCUCAAAGGCUUAAAGAGGGAGGGAAAGCUCAGCUGUAAUAAAUACGAAACGGGGGUCUGCUGGGCGUCCCCC